UUAUGGUCAUAACACGUCGAAACACUGGUUCACGUACGAUCACCGAAGUUAAGCAACGUCGAGCCUGGUCAGUACCUUAAAGCGUUAUCUCUUCGGAAUACUUGGUGCUGUAAU
Acanthosepion pharaonis is the source of this 114-nucleotide non-coding RNA. Lineage: Eukaryota; Metazoa; Mollusca; Cephalopoda; Sepiida; Sepiidae. The record is from the annotation of a GenBank genome assembly.